UCCGGCUUGCCGCCGGCAGUCCCUCCAGAGUGCCCAACUAAAUGAUGGCAACGCGAAGAACCUUACCUAGGCUCGAAAUGCUAUGGACAGUCUGUGAAAGCAGAUCUUCCCCUUAAAAGGACCGUAGUAUAGGUGCUGCAUGGCUGUCGUCAGCUCGUGUCGUGAGAUGUUGGGUUAAGUCCCGCAACGAGCGCAACCCUUGUCCUGUGUUGCCAUGUCGAAAGACGGAACUCGCAGGAGACCGCCAGGGAUAACCUGGAGGAAGGUGGGGAUGACGUAGAACGGUUGGUU
Molecule: unclassified non-coding RNA, 291 nt
Filed under: uncultured Bryobacterales bacterium
Lineage: Bacteria; Pseudomonadati; Acidobacteriota; Terriglobia; Bryobacterales
Description: contains 16S-23S intergenic spacer region
Rfam family: Bacterial small subunit ribosomal RNA (bases 38-291)
Source: RNAcentral